GCCUCCGUGUAUGAAAUGGGCUUUAGGCCUUGCCUUAAACUGUGUGUGUGUGUGUGUGUGUGUGUGUGUGUGUCUGUCUUUUAUUGAUGUAUUUCAUUAUGCCUUGCCUUAUGGUGACUGAUGUUAGUCCACUGAUCUUACUGCAGUAGAAUCAGGCAUAGCUGUCAUGAACAUGCUCAGGUUUGUUUAGGCUGAGAAGAAAUGAUGGGAGAUAUAUUUGUUAGUAUUUAAGUAAUGCAGUUCACAUGAGAAUCAUCACCUACUAUGGAGACACAGAGCAGACUCUGCUGUUCUGUGCAGUCAGUUGAAGUUUGUAGCCUAGUUAACAGGUGUGUUUGUAGCCUAGUUAACAGGUGUGUGUUUAGCCUAGUUAACAGGUGUGUUUGUAGCGUUUGUGUGACAUGCUGUGACGGUGAUAUACGCUGUGACAUGCUGUGACGGUGUGACAUGCUGUGACGGUGAUAUACGCUGUGACAUGCUGUGACGGUGUGACAUGCUGUGACGGUGAUAUACGCUGUGACAUGCUGUGACAGUGUGACAUGCUGUGACGUGACGGUG
This is a long non-coding RNA of Clupea harengus (Atlantic herring), 558 nucleotides long. The record is from Ensembl. NCBI's taxonomy places the organism in Eukaryota, Metazoa, Chordata, Actinopteri, Clupeiformes, Clupeidae.